This 437-nucleotide ribosomal RNA is filed under the name uncultured bacterium. RNAcentral's name for it is "bacterial SSU rRNA". It matches the Rfam family "Bacterial small subunit ribosomal RNA", at positions 29 to 505 of the family's 1533-position model. The record is from RNAcentral.
AACGAACGCUGGCGGCAGGCUUAACACAUGCAAGUCGAACGCUCGUAGCAAUACGGGAGUGGCGGACGGGUGAGUAACGCGUGGGAACGUGCCCUGAGGUACGGAAUAACUGCGGGAAACUGCAGCUAAUACCGUAUGAGCCCCGUGAGGGGGAAAGGAUUUAUCGCCUUAGGAGCGGCCCGCGUCGGAUUAGCUAGUUGGUGGGGUAACGGGCUUACCAAGGCUUCGAUCCGUAGCUGGUCUGAGAGGACGAUCAGCCACACUGGGACUGAGACACGGCCCAGACUCCUACGGGAGGCAGCAGUGGGGAAUCUUGCGCAAUGGGGGCAACCCUGACGCAGCCAUGCCGCGUGAAUGAUGAAGGCCUUAGGGUUGUAAAGUUCUUUUGCCCGUGACGAUGAUGACGGUAACGGGAGAAUAAGCUCCGGCUAACUUCG